UACGUAGGGGGCAAGCGUUGUCCGGAUUUAUUGGGCGUAAAGCGCUCGCAAGUGGUUCGUUGCGUCGUGCGUGAAAGACCCCGGCUCAACUGGGGAGGGUCGUGCGAUACGGGCGAACUGGAGGCCAGUAGGGGGAUGCGGAAUUCCGGGUGUAGUGGUGGAAUGCGUAGAGAUCCGGAGGAACACCAGCGGCGAAGGCGGCAUCCUGGACUGGUCCUGACACUCAUGAGCGAAAGCGUGGGGAGCGAUCCGG
This 253-nucleotide ribosomal RNA is filed under the name uncultured bacterium. Its description in RNAcentral is "partial 16S ribosomal RNA". It matches the Rfam family "Bacterial small subunit ribosomal RNA", at positions 524 to 776 of the family's 1533-position model. The record is from RNAcentral.